CCUACGGGUGGCAGCAGUGGGGAAUAUUGCACAAUGGGGGAAACCCUGAUCCAGCGACGCCGCGUGAGUGAAGAAGUAUUUCGGUAUGUAAAGCUCUAUCAGCAGGGAAGAAAAUGACGGUACCUGCUUAAGACGCCCCGGCUAACUACGUGCCAGCCGCCGCGGUCAUACGUAGGGGGCAAGCGUUAUCCGGAUUUACUGGGUGUAACGGGAGCGUAGACGGCAGCACAAGUCUGGAGUGAAAUGCCGGGGCUUAACCCCGGAACUGCUUUUGAAACUGUGGAGCUAGAGUGCAGGAGAGGUAAGUGGAAUUCCUAGUGUAGCGGUGAAAUGCGUAGAUAUUAGGAGGAACACCAGUGGCGAAGGCGGCUUACUGGACUGUAACUGACGUUGAGGCUCGAAAGCGUGGGGAGCAAACAGGAUUAGAUACCCCGGUAGUC
Molecule: ribosomal RNA, 440 nt
Filed under: uncultured bacterium
Lineage: Bacteria
Description: partial 16S ribosomal RNA
Rfam family: Bacterial small subunit ribosomal RNA
Source: RNAcentral